Molecule: long non-coding RNA, 1324 nt
Filed under: Sus scrofa (pig)
Lineage: Eukaryota; Metazoa; Chordata; Mammalia; Artiodactyla; Suidae
Description: lncRNA (ENSSSCG00070018468.1)
Source: RNAcentral
AUGCGGGAAGCGAACAGACAGCAGCCAGAGGAGGCAGCCUUGUUUUCUGUGCUGAAAAAAGUAAUUCUAAGGUUCAAUGCAGUGAAAUACCCAAAGAGGGGAGAAAUCUGGAAGGAUGAAUGUUAUCAGAAUUUUUCAAACAGUAGGAGAAAAAAAAUCAGCUGGUUUGCAGUGAAAAGGCAUCUGUGCUUAGAGUUUAGUUCUCUCUUCAUCCUUUACUGAAUUAUAUUUGAUGAAUCCAAAAUAAGUGAAAUGUCAUUUCUCAACUACCUGAGUGGUUGGAAAAACAAAAACAAAAACAGAACAGAAGCCCCUUUUCGUGGUACAAAAUGACAUCCUAGGAUUUAUAGAUAAGUAUGUACAGAAACCAAAGCAACAGAGUUAGUGGUGAAGGUCCUUUGUCUGCUGAACCACCUCUUCAGCAAAGUGAAAGACCACUAAAAUGACGUCUUUAUUGGUAAGUGCCUCUUUUCAGUAAGUACUGAUCAAACCAAUCAUUUAAAACAUGUGUAGUUGGGAGAAACUCCUCAGCUUCAUGAACACUGUUUACUAAUGAUCUCCUGAUCUCUGCUCCUUUUGACAGGAUUGGAGCUGAUAUUUAUUGGGAAGAGACGAGAGGCCUGGUUUAAGUAAAUUACUCCACAUCUUGGAGGACUGAGGCAGAACUAAAAGCAAGAAGCCCAUAGGGGUUCCCUUUGUGGCUCAGCAAUAACGAAUCCAACUAUUAUCCAUGAGGACACGGAUUCCAUCCCUGGCCUCGCUCAGUGAGUUAAGGAUCCAGUGUUGCCAUGAGCUGUGGUGUUGGCUGGCAGCUACAGCUCCAAUUUGACCCCUAGCCUGGGAACUUCCAUAUGCUUCGUGUGCAGCCUUAAAAAGAACAAAAAAAAAAAAAAUGAAGCCCAUAAACGUUCUAGAGAAAUGGUUCCCAAGGGUGCAAAUAUUUCCUAUUGCAGAUGCAGGAGGAAGCUCCCAUGAGCAUUGGAGAGCAGAAACAUUGAAAAGCAGAGUUGACAAUCCAGGUAACCACCUCCUCACUUUUACUUCUGUGAGAGCUCAUCCUUCAAACAACCAUCCUGACAUCUACCCUGACAGCCAUCAAUUGUAGAGGAUGCACAUGGAGCUCGAUACAUUAUUUGCUCUGCUUUGUCUGAUUUCAGCAGCAGCUGCAGGCUGAGGGUGUCACACCAUGACUGGCCACUGUUCUUAAGUUUUUCUCUAAAACCAAGGGAAGUUGCUCCGGAAGUGUGGGAGAAUUAAUUUCCCAGAGGGACACUGUUAUGCAGUGGGAGAUUGGAGUCAUUAAUAAAAAUGCCCCAAGCACCCA